Molecule: ribosomal RNA, 468 nt
Filed under: uncultured bacterium
Lineage: Bacteria
Description: partial 16S ribosomal RNA
Rfam family: Bacterial small subunit ribosomal RNA
Source: RNAcentral
GACGAACGCUGGCGGCGUGCUUAACACAUGCAAGUCGAACGGAAAGGCCCUGCUUUUGUGGGGUGCUCGAGGGGCGAACGGGUGAGUAACACGUGAGUAACCUGCCCUUGACUUUGGGAUAACUUCAGGAAACUGGGGCUAAUACCGGAUCGGAGCUCCUGCUGCAUGGUGGGGGGUGGAAAGUUUCGGCUGGUGGGGAUGGACGCGCGGCUGAUCAGCUUGCUGGUUGGGGAGGGGCUUACCAAGGCUUUGACGGGUAGCCGGCCUGGGAGGGUGACCGGGCUCAAUGGGACUGAGAUAGGGACCAGACUCCUACGGGAGACAGCAGUCGGGAAUAUUGCACAAUGAGCGGAAGUGUGAUGAGGAAACGUCGCGUGCGGGAUGACGGCCUUCGGGUUGUAAAACGCUUUCGCCUGUGACGAAGCGUGAGUGACGGUAAUGGGUAAAGAAGCACCGGCUAACUACGUG